RNAcentral lists this microRNA (22 nucleotides) under Owenia fusiformis. RNAcentral's name for it is "Ofu-Mir-1986_3p* (star (passenger))". The record is from RNAcentral. Lineage: Eukaryota; Metazoa; Annelida; Polychaeta; Sabellida; Oweniidae. RNAcentral also lists the same sequence under 3 other names.
UGGAUUUCCCAUGAUCCGUAAC